This 72-nucleotide transfer RNA is filed under the name Eubacterium sp. RNAcentral's name for it is "tRNA-Trp". It matches the Rfam family "tRNA". Rfam says of the family: Transfer RNA (tRNA) molecules are approximately 80 nucleotides in length. Their secondary structure includes four short double-helical elements and three loops (D, anti-codon, and T loops). Lineage: Bacteria; Bacillati; Bacillota; Clostridia; Eubacteriales; Eubacteriaceae. The record is from RNAcentral.
AGGGGUGUGGUGUUAAUGGUAGCAUAUCGGUCUCCAAAACCGCAGGUUAGGGUUCGAAUCCCUACGCUCUUG